RNAcentral lists this transfer RNA (74 nucleotides) under Cottus beldingii (Paiute sculpin). RNAcentral's name for it is "tRNA-Leu". It matches the Rfam family "tRNA". From Rfam's summary of the family: Transfer RNA (tRNA) molecules are approximately 80 nucleotides in length. Lineage: Eukaryota; Metazoa; Chordata; Actinopteri; Perciformes; Cottidae. RNAcentral also lists the same sequence under 1 other name. The record is from RNAcentral.
GUUAAGGUGGCAGAGCCCGGUAAUUGCAAAAGACCUAAGCCCUUUCAACAGAGGUUCAAACCCUCUCCUCAACU